UACGGAGGGUCCGAGCGUUGUCCGGAAUUAUUGGGCGUAAAGAGCUUGUAGGCGGUUUGUCGCGUCUGCUGUGAAAAUCCGGGGCUCAACCCCGGACUUGCAGUGGGUACGGGCAGACUAGGAGGUGUGGUAGGGGAGACUGGAAUUCCUGGUGUAGCGGUGAAAUGACGCAGAUAUCAGGAGGAACACCCGGAUGGCGAAGGCAGGUCUGCUGGGCGAAUUAACUGACGCUGGAGGAGCGAAAAGCAUGGGGAGCAACAGG
Molecule: ribosomal RNA, 262 nt
Filed under: uncultured bacterium
Lineage: Bacteria
Description: partial 16S ribosomal RNA
Rfam family: Bacterial small subunit ribosomal RNA
Source: RNAcentral